GUGUGCGUGUGUGCAUAGUGUUUCCAAAACUUACUUAAAUUAUUCAAGUAAAGUGCUACCCCAAUUAAAUGCACAAGUUAGGCGGUUUUCAAAGGAUUUCAACAAGCAGAAUUAAUGCGGAAUUGUUGUUGUUUACAGGA
RNAcentral lists this small nucleolar RNA (140 nucleotides) under Drosophila yakuba. RNAcentral describes it as "snoRNA:GE27216". The record is from RNAcentral. Lineage: Eukaryota; Metazoa; Arthropoda; Insecta; Diptera; Drosophilidae.